This 1208-nucleotide long non-coding RNA is filed under the name Sorghum bicolor (sorghum). RNAcentral describes it as "long non-coding RNA (SBIC_LNC000783)". The record is from RNAcentral. Lineage: Eukaryota; Viridiplantae; Streptophyta; Magnoliopsida; Poales; Poaceae.
GCCAUUGAUGUUGCUCUUCUCGAUCCUCCUUGUGGUCUUGGUGACUCUUAUGCAUGGGAUGUCUAGAGAGAUUCAUAGGAUCAUCGGGAGGUUCAAGAGAAAGAGCAUAGUAGAAAUUAUUAAGCUCAAGGAUGGGUUGGAUAGCCGAAUCAUGAGAUUGAAAUGUUUGGAAAUUGGCUAUUGAAACUUCCUUUCCUCGUCUGGGAGAUGAUUCCUUCUCUAUCUCUAGGAAUUGUUUUUGAAGACUAGUGCAAGAAGGAUGUCCACAAAUGAAGACAUACCUUCCUUUAUUAAUAGAUAAAGAAAGAAAAACUCUACCAAAGGUUAUAUGAUUAAGACCAAUGUGAAAAUAUCGAGAAAAAACAUGGUCUUGUAGGCUUGGUUUAAACCAGAAUUUAUAGAAAGAUUAACAGAUUCCCUAGGUGUAGCUAAAAGUUCAUUAUCAUCUUGAUUAAAAGAUAGGACCUCAGCUAUAGAAAAGGGUUGGUUUAGACCUAUUGCAAUCAACUCCGGACACAGAUCAUAAUUAGGGGCAAAGAAAGGACUUGUUAACUCCCAUGGUCUAUGGCUAGUCUCCGAAGGUGCAAAAAAAAUUCAAUAAUAGGUAUGGAAUUUGAGUUAUCCAUAAUGAUGAAAAAAAUAAAAAGAUAAAAGAAUAAAAGUAUAAAAGUAUAAUACAAGAUAAUAGCAAGACUUAAAGUUAUCUCAGCAAACCGUCUUUCUCCCCGGCAACGGCGCCAUAAAUGCUUGUUGAUAUUUGGUAACACCAUCAGGAAAUGAUCCGCAAGUGCACGGGUAUCGGUGAGCACUUCACCCGGGAGGUUAUCCAGAGUAUCGUAUUUAUAUUUUUACCACUGGGAGAAAGCGUGCAUCUGACUAACCAAAUCUAUUGCUACUACCCUUUAGGCUACAAAGAAUGUUUCUUGAUGUGAGCGAUGUAUAGAGAAGACUACAACCGUAGUCUCGUUCUAACCUUGGUACGGAUGAUCUACUGUUUUAUUGGGGAGGCUCAUGGAAUCUAGACACCACAAAGGAUGUUCGACCCGCACCUAUAAACCCUACCCAUCCUGCUAACGAGAUGUGGGCUGCAAAGGUAACUCAGAAAUGUCACGUUCCUCGCUACUACCACGGUCCAGCUAGUCAGGGGAUAUCUAUGAGUACCCUAGCCCAAACACCACGUUUACGCUAGCAAUUAUUACUCUAAACUC